AAUCCUAUCGUUACAGCAUCCACAAAUGUCUCUCACACGAAACUACCUCGCUUCCAUUUUCGAAGACACAAAACCGAGAAAUAAAAAUGAAGCCUCGUCAAGAACAAGAAGAAGACGAAGAACGACUUCGUCAAAGAAAACUUGAAGAAUCCCUUGAAAUAAAAUCUCUCCGGCGCAUAAUUAGUGCCUACCUUAAUUAUCCAGAGGCAGCAGAAGAGGAUGUGAAAAGAUACGAAAGAUCGUUUAGGAAGCUUCCUCCUUCUCACAAAGCUUUGUUAUCACGCUACCCUUUGAAGUUUCAAAGUCUAAGAAGGUUUGGAUAAAUCUGGGACCACUCCUGUAUCAUUUUGCAGAUAUGUAUGGACAAGAGGAUGAGAUGUCCAUUGAACUGAGCUUGGAAGAUGUAAAGUGUGUUGCGUUUAAUUAUGGGUUUGAAGUUGAGUAAUUUAAAAAUGUACAGUUCUAUUUAUGGGCUGCAGAAGGAAAAGACAAUUGAGACAACCUACACUACAAAUCCUCGAUCAAUGAUGCAAGUAAGCUUCUCAGACCCAUGUUGGAAAUUCUCUGUUAAAUGUUUUCUCUGCCUGCUUUAUAAAUUUUAAAAGUGGAGAUGGGGGACGGUGCCUCUCCUCCCCAAAAUAUCAUCUGUGCAGUAUUUAUAGAAGUGAUCUAAGGACUAAGAAGCUUCUGUUGUGGCUUAACAAACUCGCUCACCAAAUGUGCUUACCUAUGUCACGAGUCCCCAGCAUGCUAGAUCCCUUCUCUUUCUUUUAGGCCAAUGAAGGCCACCAAAUUCCCUUUUGCUAAUCAGAUCUGACUUUUGUAGUUACAGAGUUUACCUUCAGCUCAUGCUGGCGUGGUAUUUGCUAACAUAUUUGACUUUGAUUUUUUGCCGAACCGAUACUUUGCUGCAUUCUGGACAAUGAGAAAGAAAUCGGUGGCAGCAGAAAAGCAUUCAACAUGAUAAGCAGUGGUGGAGAAGCAUUUUGCAUGAUGAUUACUUGGUCUGCUAUAUUGUUUUUUUUUUUUUUUAAUUAACGUGGAUGUCUGGGUUAGCUUGCACGCACCUCGAUUAAUUCUACGAGCCCUAAAGUUAACGACUAUAUAAGCCUUCAGCAGUCCUGAGGGGACUCGAACUUGUGACCAUUGGGAAACAAACCUAAGACCUGACUAGUUGAGCCCUCAAUGUUAGUCUGCUAUAUUGUUCCUUCAUGUAAAAGCUGCAUACAGUGUCCAGUAAAUUGAAAUGUAUUUCUUGAAAAUAAAAUACAAGGUUGAAGAUUAAUUUGA
Populus nigra (black poplar) is the source of this 1290-nucleotide long non-coding RNA. RefSeq lists it as uncharacterized. The record is from RefSeq and is a predicted model, not a curated record. The transcript has 6 exons. Lineage: Eukaryota; Viridiplantae; Streptophyta; Magnoliopsida; Malpighiales; Salicaceae.